This 259-nucleotide ribosomal RNA is filed under the name uncultured bacterium. RNAcentral describes it as "partial 16S ribosomal RNA". It matches the Rfam family "Bacterial small subunit ribosomal RNA", at positions 524 to 776 of the family's 1533-position model. The record is from RNAcentral.
UACGUAGGGAGCAAGCGUUUGUCCGGAAUCAUUGGGCGUAAAGCGCGCGUAGGCGGCCCCUGUAAGUCCGUUUGUGAAAAGUCAAAAGGCUCAACCUUUUGAAAGCCGAUGGAUACUGCAGGGCUAGAGUCCGGAAGAGGCGAGUGGAAUUCCUGGUGUAGCGGUGGAAUGCGCAGAUAUCAGGAGGAACACCAAUAGCGAAGGCAGCUCGCUGGGACGGUACUGAGCUAAGGCGCGAAAGCGUGGGGGAGCGAACAGG